AAAAAUAGAUGAGCCUAUAUUAGAUUAGCUAGUUGGUGGAGUAAUAGCCUACCAAGGCAAUGAUCUAUAGCUGAUCUGAGAGGAUGAUCAGCCACACUGGAACUGAGAUACGGUCCAGACUCCUACGGGAGGCAGCAGUGGGGAAUAUUGGACAAUGGGCGAAAGCCUGAUCCAGCUAUGCCGCAUGAGUGAAGAAGGCCUUUGGGUUGUAAAGCUCUUUUAGUGAGGAAGAUAAUGACGGUACUCACAGAAGAAGUCCUGGCUAACUCCGUGCCAGCAGCCGCGGUAAUACGGAGAGGGCUAGCGUUAUUCGGAAUUAUUGGGCGUAAAGGGCGCGUAGGCUGAUUAAUAAGUUAAAAGUGAAAUCCCGAGGCUUAACCUUGGAAUUGCUUUUAAAACUAUUAAUCUAGAGAUUGAAAGAGGAUAGAGGAAUUCCUGAUGUAGAGGUAAAAUUCGUAAAUAUUAGGAGGAACACCAGUGGCGAAGGCGUCUAUCUGGUUCAAAUCUGACGCUGAGGCGCGAAGGCGUGGGGAGCAAACAGGAUUAGAUACCCUGGUAGUCCACGCUAUAAACGAUGAAUGUUAAAUAUGGGAAGUUU
RNAcentral lists this ribosomal RNA (598 nucleotides) under Wolbachia endosymbiont of Bemisia tabaci. RNAcentral's name for it is "bacterial SSU rRNA". It matches the Rfam family "Bacterial small subunit ribosomal RNA", at positions 217 to 832 of the family's 1533-position model. Lineage: Bacteria; Pseudomonadati; Pseudomonadota; Alphaproteobacteria; Rickettsiales; Anaplasmataceae. The record is from RNAcentral.